This 461-nucleotide ribosomal RNA is filed under the name uncultured bacterium. RNAcentral's name for it is "SSU rRNA". It matches the Rfam family "Bacterial small subunit ribosomal RNA", at positions 26 to 518 of the family's 1533-position model. The record is from RNAcentral.
AGAAUCAACGCUGGCGGCGUGCCUAACACAUGCAAGUCGCACGAGAAAGGGGAGCAAUCCCUGAGUAAAGUGGCGCACGGGUGAGUAACACGUGAAUCAUCUACCUCCGAGUGGGGAAUAACCUAGAGAAAUCUGGGCUAAUACCGCAUAACACUUACGAGUCAAAGCAGCAAUGCGCUUGGAGAGGAGUUCGCGGCCGAUUAGUUAGUUGGCGGGGUAAUGGCCCACCAAGACGAUGAUCGGUAUCCGGCCUGAGAGGGCGCACGGACACACUGGAACUGAAACACGGUCCAGACUCCUACGGGAGGCAGCAGUGGGGAAUUUUGCGCAAUGGGGGAAACCCUGACGCAGCAACGCCGCGUGGAGGAUGAAAUAUCUUGGUAUGUAAACUCCUUUCGAUGGGGAAGAUUAUGACGGUACCCAUAGAAGAAGCCCCGGCUAACUUCGCGCCAGCAGCCGAC